AACCUUUUUGCUUUGCCGGGUCGACGAUUCCUACGGGAGGCAGCAGCAGGGAAUAUUGCACAAUGGGCGCAAGCCUGAUGCAGCGACGCCGCGUGAGGGAUGAAGGCCUUCGGGUUGUAAACCUCUUUCAGGAGGGACGAAGCGCAAGUGACGGUACCUCCAGAAGAAGCCCCGGCCAACUACGUGCCAGCAGCCGCGGUAAUACGUAGGGGGCGAGCGUUGUCCGGAUUCAUUGGGCGUAAAGAGCUCGUAGGCGGCUCAGUAAGUCGGCCGUGAAAGCCCAGGGCUCAACCCUGGGAGGCCGGUCGAUACUGCUGUGGCUAGGGUCCGGUAGAGGAGAGUGGAAUUCCCGGUGUAGCGGUGAAAUGCGCAGAUAUCGGGAGGAACACCAGUAGCGAAGGCGGCUCUCUGGGCCGGUACCGACGCUGAGGAGCGAAAGCUAGGGGAGCAAACAGGAUUAGAUACCCUGGUAGUCCUAGCCGUAAACGUUGGGCACUAGGUGUGGCGGAUUCAUUGACGUCUGCCGUGCCGGCGCUAACGCAUUAAGUGCCCCGCCUGGGGAGUACGGUCGCAAGGCUAAAACUCAAAGGAAUUGACGG
RNAcentral lists this ribosomal RNA (599 nucleotides) under uncultured Actinomycetes bacterium. Its description in RNAcentral is "bacterial SSU rRNA". It matches the Rfam family "Bacterial small subunit ribosomal RNA", at positions 309 to 916 of the family's 1533-position model. The record is from RNAcentral. Lineage: Bacteria; Bacillati; Actinomycetota; Actinomycetes.